GAGAGGUAACGGCUCACCAAGGCAUCGACGGGUAGCUGGUCUGAGAGGAUGAUCAGCCACACUGGAACUGAGACACGGUCCAGACUCCCACGGGAGGCAGCAGUGGGGAAUCUUGCACAAUGGGCGAAAGCCUGAUGCAGCGAUGCCGCGUGCGGGAAGAAGGCCUUAGGGUUGUAAACCGCUUUCAGGAGGGAAGAAAAUGACGGUACCUCCAGAAGAAGGUGCGGCCAACUACGUGCCAGCAGCCGCGGUGACACGUAGGCACCAAGCGUUAUCCGGAUUUAUUGGGCGUAAAGAGCUCGUAGGCGGUUUGGUAAGUCGGGUGUGAAAACUCUGGGCUCAACCCAGAGAGGCCACUCGAUACUGCUAUGACUAGAGUACGGUAGGGGAGCGGGGAAUUCCUGGUGUAGCGGUGAAAUGCGCAGAUAUCAGGAGGAACACCAGCGGCGAAGGCGCCGCUCUGGGCCGUAACUGACGCUGAGGAGCGAAAGCAUGGGUAGCAAACAGGAUUAGAUACCCUGGUAGUCCAUGCCGUAAACGUUGGGCACUAGGUGUGGGUCUCAACCAACGAGAUCCGCGCCGUCGCUAACGCAUUAAGUG
RNAcentral lists this ribosomal RNA (600 nucleotides) under uncultured Actinomycetes bacterium. RNAcentral's name for it is "bacterial SSU rRNA". It matches the Rfam family "Bacterial small subunit ribosomal RNA", at positions 252 to 866 of the family's 1533-position model. Lineage: Bacteria; Bacillati; Actinomycetota; Actinomycetes. The record is from RNAcentral.